GUAAUUAAAUUGUAUUUGAUUUGAUAUAUUUAAAUUCAAUUGCUACAAUCAGAAGUACUAAGAGGCCGUUUCGUUAGAUGUAAUUAUAAAUACAGUAUAGUUAGAGAUACAUGCAGUUGAAAAAUACAGUAGUUACAACUAUAUGAAUCCUGUUUAGUUGGAUAUAAUAGAAAAUACUGCAAGUAUAAAUAAUUUGUUUGGUUAUAUGAAGUUGAGAAAUAAUUUUUAAUAAAACUUUAUCAUUUUAUAUAUAUGAUGAUGAGAUUACCUCCAAAAUAAAAAAAAUAAUUUUUGUAUAAAAAAUAUUGAAGAGGUAAUUAAGUAUAGCUUUUAUUUAAAGUUACUCUCUCCAACCGCUACAACUGGAACUGCGGCCAAUUUGGGCGUAGUUCAAACUACUGCAGUUGGGCCUCCUCCUACGAUUCCUACUGUAGCAGUUCGAGUUAAAUACAUCAAACCAAACACCGAAUUUAUAUUUACAUGUAGUUACAACUGCAUUGCAGUUGCGACUACAUAUGCAACCAAACGGCUCCUAAAAGAAGCUGCGCUGCAACAGCCGGAGAUUGCAACUUUAACUAUAUGAAAGUUUAUUUACCUAUUACAUUUUAAAUAGAAAUCUACUCCUUUUUCUACAGUAUGGAUAAUCUUACCAUCCCAUUUAUAAAGUAAUAACCGUUUUCAACUAAAUUAAUAAAACAAAUUAUUUAUAGUUGGUGCACUUGUACCAUAUCCAAUCAAACAAGAUAUAUAUAAUUAUAACCGUUGUAUUUUAACUGUAUGCACUUCUAUCUAUAUUAUAUUUACAAUCAUAUUUAACCAAACACCCCUAAAAUAGCAUCCUGCAUUAAGGGCGUAUUUGUUCCACCGAAAGUGGAUAAGAAUGAAGUGAUUUUGGUUGUAAAUGCCCAAUUUUGUUGCUUGUUUCACCGUAAUAUAAAUUCAGUUGGAACUCAAAACCUCCAAAUUACCAUAAUUGAGUUCAAACCACCCUGCGCCGAAGCUAAUUACCAGAAAAAAUAAGGAGGAAAUAAAUUAAUCAAGUAUUUAAUUGGGAAAUUUCUUUUCGCUGAUAAUUACUUAUAUAUCCCUCGAAACUUUAAAAAUAUCUAAUUUAUCCCUUUUUUUUUUGUUUUCAAUAUACACCUCAUUUGUUCCUCCGUUAUUCAAAAAUAUCCAUGCAAUUACCAUCUGUUAAGUUAUCUCGGGUUAAACAUGAAUUAAAUGUCUACCAGAGUUUAAAAAAAAAUCAAACUACCUAUUUUGUCCUUAACUUAAGGUCAAAUAAGAAAAGUUGAUGAUAUUGAUAGAAGGGUAUAUUUAAAAAGACCAAAAAUCAAAAUACACCAUAAAGAAAAGUUGGUGAUGGGCGUAUUAGAAAGGACAAAAUAGUAGUUUUACAGAGAUAACAACCAUUAAUUGCUAAUAGUUCACUAACAUAAUUUAAUCCUAGGGGUAUAUUUGAAAUAAUUUGGAACGUAAACAGAGUAUUUUUAAUGUAUAUUAGCCUUCUAAUAGAGAUAAAUCCGAAAGUCGAGAACUUUUCAGAGGUAUAUAAGCAAUUUGCCUCUAAUAUUAAUAUAUGGGGAUUCAAAUAAAUUUUUGUAAAGCAAACACAGGAAGUAGGAAAUUUCAACUUUUAUCCCAUUGAUUUUCUGCCAAAUAAACAGCAGAGGAGAAAAAAUUUUCACUUAAACUCUAGUCCAAUUAA
RNAcentral lists this long non-coding RNA (1708 nucleotides) under Ananas comosus (pineapple). RNAcentral's name for it is "long non-coding RNA (ACOM_LNC033092)". Lineage: Eukaryota; Viridiplantae; Streptophyta; Magnoliopsida; Poales; Bromeliaceae. The record is from RNAcentral.